Molecule: ribosomal RNA, 344 nt
Filed under: uncultured bacterium
Lineage: Bacteria
Description: partial 16S ribosomal RNA
Rfam family: Bacterial small subunit ribosomal RNA
Source: RNAcentral
CCUACGGGAGGCUGCAGUGAGGAAUAUUGGUCAAUGGGCGAGAGCCUGAACCAGCCAAGUCGCGUGAGGGAGUACUGCCCGAUGGGUGGUAAACCUCUUUUGUCGGGGAGCAAAAGCCGGACGGGGCCGGCUGUGAGAGUACCCGAAGAAAAAGCAUCGGCGAACUCCGGGCCAGCAGCCGCGGUAAUACGGAGGAUGCGAGCGUUAUCCGGAUUUAGUGGGUGUAAAGGGGGCGCAGGCGGAUUUUUAAGGCAGCGGUCAAAGCGUGGGGCUCAACCCCAUCCAGCCGUUGCAACUGGGGAUCUAGAGUGUGCGAGAGGUCUGCGGCAUGCGUGGUGUAGCGG